This is a long non-coding RNA of Anas platyrhynchos (mallard), 1041 nucleotides long. RefSeq lists it as uncharacterized. NCBI's taxonomy places the organism in Eukaryota, Metazoa, Chordata, Aves, Anseriformes, Anatidae. The record is from RefSeq and is a predicted model, not a curated record.
GAGAAGACUUGUUGGAUCCUCUGAAGCAGCAGUCUUCUCUGUGCUUGUUCUUCUGAGAGCCCGUACUGCACGAGUAAGGGGCAGACACCCUCGUGGGCCCAGAUCCGUGGGGCUGCUUUCUGAUGGGAGAAGGAUGAGACCUGACUCCGUAGCCAUUACUCACACCAAGCAGUACUCGUUCAGUCUCUGCAGGUCUAGCAUCCAUGUCCAUUCCCUCAUGGUGCUCCCUUGUGGAGCUUCGGCAGAGGCUUUGCAGGCGCUCGGAGUGACGAGGAUGGGAGAAAGGAGGGGAUCGGUGCUCCGACACAGCAGCCAUUUUAAGCUGCUUCUUCCACAGCUGGAAAUCAUUGCGAUAGCAUCAGCUGCCAAGGAGAGUUAUGAGAUUUGGCAGGAUUCAGAGGGAAAGAGGUAGCAGCUAAAUCACUUGUGAAUAGCAAGCGCUUCAAAGGCAGAGCGUGGGGCCCUGGCUGGCGGGCGGGUGCUGUGCCGGGAUGGAUCCGGACCCGGUGAGGGUGCUGGGGGCAGCACGAGGCUCUGAGCAGGGUGAACGGCACCCACAGGGCCUGACCUGCUCUUUGUGGCCCCACCGGUGCAUCCCCAGGCACAGGCAGCUGGGACACCUCGCAGCUGGAGCUGAUGCAUUAUUCAGCAAGGAAAUAAGUGCUCUGCAACCCCACCGCAAAAAAAAAAAAAACCACAACUCCAUAAUGCAAGGAUAGGAAGCAUACAAUAUAUUCCUCUCCAAAUUAAUUGCUAUUAUUUUGAUUAAAACACAUUAUCAUAUAAAUAUUUGAUUAAGAAUGUGAUUAAAUCUUUCUUGCUUAUGAACUGUGACAACUUUAAAGUCUAACCUUUUAUAGCUUGGCACCACAUCAUUAUUUUGCUCAUUAGCUACGUUUAAUAAUUCGAUCUCAUAAUAUGCUUUGCCAUUUGGAACCUGCCUUUGUGUGCCAAGUUCAAAUCGAUGCUGUUAGUUAUUUGUGCCACUGCAGAUAAUUAAACAAAAAUUAAAAGCAAUUUAACCUUGCAGUCUGGCUGCGG